This 932-nucleotide ribosomal RNA is filed under the name Psychrobacter sp. RNAcentral describes it as "bacterial SSU rRNA". It matches the Rfam family "Bacterial small subunit ribosomal RNA", at positions 73 to 1001 of the family's 1533-position model. The record is from RNAcentral. Lineage: Bacteria; Pseudomonadati; Pseudomonadota; Gammaproteobacteria; Moraxellales; Moraxellaceae.
UUCUAGCUUGCUAGAAGAUGACGAGCGGCGGACGGGUGAGUAAUACUUAGGAAUCUACCUAGUAGUGGGGGAUAGCUCGGGGAAACUCGAAUUAAUACCGCAUACGACCUACGGGAGAAAGGGGGCAGUUUACUGCUCUCGCUAUUAGAUGAGCCUAAGUCGGAUUAGCUAGAUGGUGGGGUAAAGGCCUACCAUGGCGACGAUCUGUAGCUGGUCUGAGAGGAUGAUCAGCCACACCGGAACUGAGACACGGUCCGGACUCCUACGGGAGGCAGCAGUGGGGAAUAUUGGACAAUGGGGGCAACCCUGAUCCAGCCAUGCCGCGUGUGUGAAGAAGGCCUUUUGGUUGUAAAGCACUUUAAGCAGUGAAGAAGACUCCGUGGUUAAUACCCACGGACGAUGACAUUAGCUGCAGAAUAAGCACCGGCUAACUCUGUGCCAGCAGCCGCGGUAAUACAGAGGGUGCAAGCGUUAAUCGGAAUUACUGGGCGUAAAGCGAGCGUAGGUGGCUUGAUAAGUCAGAUGUGAAAUCCCCGGGCUUAACCUGGGAACUGCAUCUGAUACUGUUAGGCUAGAGUAGGUGAGAGGAAGGUAGAAUUCCAGGUGUAGCGGUGAAAUGCGUAGAGAUCUGGAGGAAUACCGAUGGCGAAGGCAGCCUUCUGGCAUCAUACUGACACUGAGGCUCGAAAGCGUGGGUAGCAAACAGGAUUAGAUACCCUGGUAGUCCACGCCGUAAACGAUGUCUACUAGUCGUUGGGUCCCUUGAGGACUUAGUGACGCAGCUAACGCAAUAAGUAGACCGCCUGGGGAGUACGGCCGCAAGGUUAAAACUCAAAUGAAUUGACGGGGGCCCGCACAAGCGGUGGAGCAUGUGGUUUAAUUCGAUGCAACGCGAAGAACCUUACCUGGUCUUGACAUAUCUAGAAUCCUGC